This 240-nucleotide unclassified non-coding RNA is filed under the name soil metagenome. Its description in RNAcentral is "partial contains 5.8S ribosomal RNA, internal transcribed spacer 2, and large subunit ribosomal RNA". The record is from RNAcentral.
AACCAUAGAAACCUGCGGAGUACCUGCGGAAGGAUCAUUACAGAGUUCGUGCCCUCGCGGGUAGAUCUCCCACCCUUGUGUAUUUUCUACAUCUUGUUGCUUUGGCAGGCCGUUGGUUCGCCAACCACCGGCUCGCGGGCUGGUGCGUGCCUGCCAGAGGACCUCUCAAACUCGGUUUGUUAGUGUCGUCUGAGUACCAUAACAAUCGUUAAAACUUUCAACAACGGAUCUCAGAUCGGA